Molecule: long non-coding RNA, 5413 nt
Organism: Cavia porcellus (domestic guinea pig)
Lineage: Eukaryota; Metazoa; Chordata; Mammalia; Rodentia; Caviidae
Exons: 2
Source: RefSeq, a predicted model, not a curated record
CCUCUGUACCCAAUGGGGACGCGAGGAGGGGACCGCAGUUCGCCAAUCGGAGCUGUCCAGGUGCGGUAGCCUAUGCCCGAAGCGUGGCUCCUUCCGAUUGGUUUCGUUUAGCGGCUCUUGUCCAAUCACAUGGCUCCGCGGGCCCCUCACAUGGGGGACCGCCUCUUUGCCUGGGACGUCUUGGCCCCUAAGGGAAGCCGUCCAAUGAACGUAAGCUCGCAGCACGUCCAUCCUUUGACAGAGGUCGCUGCGGAACCACUUCCGGAUCCUAGAGAGCGUGUAUUCCGUGACUAGGGGAAACAGUAGCCAUGGCAACGCAGUUUCUACCUUUUCCCCCAACCUCGCCCUGCCUGGGCUAUACUUAGGAUCGCAUUGAGAGCCAUUCUAGAGCGGUUUGCAGUUUAUGUUUUGUUUGGUGGUGCACCUUGAAAAAAUGAUGUAACGGUUUAAGACUCCCUCGAGGGCUUCCUUUGCGGCAGGGGGACUACAGUUCCCGGCAUGCAACGCAAGGGCGAGUGCCGUAUUGAACGCUGGGAGUCCCUGGCGCUGGCCUGCUGCCCUGCGCGUUUGUGGGACUCGGCCCUGCGUGUUUUAAGGUUACGUUUUGUUCCGAUUGCAGUGGAGAGCUGUGCUUAUUGCUACACAACUUUCACAGGUGGGCCUAGAAGGCCUCCGCGUCUCGGCCAGGGCCACCGGGUGCAGGCCGCCGGCCGAUGAGAGCCCGGGCCCCGGCUCGCGAGGCGCAUUUCCGAAUCUGGCUUCUCGUGCGUCUCCUACGGCGCCCAGACCCUUUGCCUCUGCGUAUUCCCGGCCGGAAGGAAUCCCCAGACCCUACCGAUUUGGUUCGCAGAAGAAAGUGCUGGGGUUCCCCAUUCCCGAGGGAGGUCGCAAACAACUUUGAUGUCUUUAACCCCCAUGAAGCACCCAAAGGGCCGCGGCCCCGAAUCAGGCGGAGAGCUUGGCGAUCAAGUGCGGUCUGGCAUGGAAGUGGAAAGACGCAAAGCUACACCUGGGUGCUACAAAGGAGAUCCAGAUCGCAGCCUUGAAACUUGUUAGAGAUACCCUGCCGGCCAAGGCGCCUAGCACACCUGGUGUCUUUCCUGGGGGUGGGGGUGGGGGAGUCCUUCACACGAAGUUGUGCCUUUAAAAAAAGCUUCCUGCCUCUUGUCUCUUAGAUGUAGUUUUCGUGAGCUGCCCACCCACGCACAGGUCUCUAACAUACACACCUUCUUUGUUACUUCUUUCUCCAGCGAAAUGGAAUUUUGCUUUCUGAUAAUCAUCAGUGUUCCUGAAGAUAAGCUUUUCAAUGACAGUCUGUUACAGUCUUGUACAACUUCCCCUAUUUAGGUUUGCCUGAUCUUGAUGCUGUGGUUGGUGUUUACAUAUUGUGGUGGUGCCUUAUUUAGAUCUGCCCGAUUUACCUACAUUUGUUAGUAGUAAGCAAACUGACACAGCAGGUUUUAUGCUUCUGUGCUUGGCAUUUAAAAAAAAAAAACAGCCGUAUAUUAGGGUGUUAACUGCAUGCAGCAAUCUCAGUGACAUCUUUGUUAUAACUAGUUUAUUUUUUAAGGGAAAGACGAGGUGCUUCACUUUUCUGCUUUUGAUGGCUCCACUUCUCUGUCUCUGUAGUUAGAGCUGAGCGAGCUGUCCUGGAAGUGCGAGUGCCUGCUUAGCUGGGUGGUGCUGCACCUGGGGGAACUGAGAGUGAGAUUUGUCCUCCAAAAUAGACCUCCACCCUGGGGUGGGAGGGCUUCCUGCAGGUGAGGUGAGACUGACUGGCCCAGUACCCUCCCUAAGUGGGCAGUUUAUUAGGUUCCUACUCUUCUGACUUUGGCUCUGUGGCUGUUUUUCCCAGUGGUUAGUGGAUAGUGGUUCCCUCACCAGGGCAUCUGAUUCUCUUGUUUCCUCACCUUCUUGUUUGACAUGUUCCCAGGGCUGCUGCGGGAAUUGUACCUUGUUGUUGUUAUACUGUUGCUCUAUUUACUUAUUUAUUCUUGAGACAAAGCCUCACUGUGUAGUUCAGGAUGGACUUGAGUUCACUGUGUAGCCCAGGCUGGCCUUGAACUCGAGGUGAUCCUCCUGCCUCAGCCUCUGGAGCGGCAGGGUUUAUAGGUGUGCACCAGCACUCGGGGUGUAAUGCUGCCUCUUGAGUCUAUCUAAUGCAACCAGAUAGCUCCUUCUCUUGCUGUUAAACUUGGAAGGGAAAAUCACAUAGGCAGAGAGAUCAGUUAGGGACCACAUGUCUCAGUUCGGAUAGGGAGGUGUAGUGGGGUGUCAGGGACGAAACAGGCCCGGGAGACCAAGGCAGGAAAGCUGUUGGCCUCAGGGAAGACUGAGCAAUGGAUGAAUGUGGAGAAGCAUUGGUUGGCCAAUUGGUUCCUUCCUCAUUACUCAGCAAAUGUCAAAGACCUGGUGGACUCCAGGAAAUACAAAGACACAGUACAUGGUAGACACGGUCUCUGUGCUUACAGAAUGGGAGCAAAUAUGAAUGGUAGAGUUGCACCGUGGUGUUUAUUUAAACCAAGGUAAAGAUGUGAAAGUACCUGCGAGGUACCAGGGAAGCUUUUGAGCUAUUGGAAAUGCUCUUGGUCUUGAGAUUGAUUGUGGUUACAAAUCAUCACACAUAAAAGGGUGAGUUUGCUUAUUAUAUAACUACACCUCAAAUAGGGAAAAAUAAUAGUAACUGUCCCUCUAGACAACAAGACCCUAAACACAUCUCAGUGAGGGUCAGGAACUAGCCAGGGAAGUCCGAGGUAGUCGGCCUUGGCUCACACUCUGGGAGAGUCUAACGGUGAGAAAAGCAAUCGGUGUAUGUUUUAGAAAAGUCAAAAUCCUUAAUUUUUAAAAUUCUAUCUUACUGGUGACAUGUUUACAUACCCCAGAAAUCCAAGAGACUCUAGCUGAAGUAUCCAUAAGGAAUAGGACAAUCCAGCACCUCGUUGGGUUUAAGAUCAGUCUGUCCAUCUGGGCCUCGAUCAGGUCAGCCUAGCAAGACCCUGUCUCAGAAUAAAAUAAAUGCAUACCCAGGGCUGGAGAUGUACCUCAGUGCUCCAAAGGAAAAAAAAUCCUUCAAUCUUUAAAAAUCAAUAAUCUUGCUCUCACCUUGCAAAACAACACAUAGUAAUGUAAACUUUUCCAACUUUCAGAGGCAAACCCCAGUAGAUAUUUAGGAAUAAACUCACAGAACACAUAGUACAACAUGGGAAAAGUAACAGGUAUUAAGCACAGUGCAGAAAGCAAGGGACCUGGGGCAUGUUUGUGCUCUGUGUAUUACCAUGUAACAAGUCACCCCAACCCAGCGCCUUAGAACUCUCCCGUCCCCCACUGAGAUCAGGAAUCCAAGCGGUUCUGCUGGUCGUGCUGGCUUGGAGUUGCUCACUGCUUGUCGGUCAGAUAUUGGCUAGGGCUGAGGUCCCCUGGAGGCUGGGCUGGGGCGCCAGGUGGUGAGGUCACUCAGUCAGCUUGGUGGGAGACCUCAGUCUUGUGGCCGGGGGACCUCUCCACCCACCGGGCUGCUGGCUCCCUCGGGACUGUGAUGGAAGACGCAGAGCACAGUGGGGGGCCCCAGUGACCCACAGCCCAGCUGGAACCACACAGCAGCAGAGCAUCACGCCAGGGCGGGAACUGAGGCCCAUCCGGGACCUGGCUGCCCACAUACCCUGGUUAGAGGGAGACUAGGGGAAGCCUGAUGUGGGGUUUUCAGCUCCUCUCCAAAGAGGGGGGCUCAGGAUCCUGGAGUGAGGGUUUCUCCGAGUACAGGCAAAGGUUAGUUGUAGGGCAGUCAGAGAAAAGGAUAAAAGUCAGCGGACAGGACGGCGCAAGGAGAGAAUCCAAAAUGAAUUCUUUCAAAUAAAUGGCGUCAGAGUGACAUUUCAAUUUGGAGGGGGAGAGCUUGUGUGCUAAAUGACACUUGCCUUAAGCUGGACUGGGUACCCAGCUUAAGCAAAAUAAAGCCAAACUCCUAUUUUUUAGCACGCAGAAAUAAAUUCCAACUUAGGAAAACAGACGACGGAGAGAUUUUCUUAACCAAAAUUGCACAUCCAGGAAAUCUCACAGGAAGCUGAUAUAGGGUGUCAGGUCCCCUCCCCCCUCCUUUUUGGGGAGACCUGGACUCCUGUCUUUCUGGGCAGGGGUGGGAAGGCAGUGGGAGAGCAGAGGACUCAUGCUGUGACCCCCCCCUCCAGCUUUAUCCCCACGUCCUGGCGGCCUUUGUAGCCAUCUGAUGCCUUUAAAUAGUCUCUCCAGUGUCUUUUUCAGCCUCUGCCUUCCUGGCUGGACAAUGGGUCGCCUUCACAUCGUCCCUCACAGCGGAAUGCGGAAGUCUUACCUAUUGUGGUGCCCAGCACAUGAAUUUCAAAAACAAACCACCCAACAAACAAGAAACCGCCAAAGCUUGUCCUCUGUGGAUCUUGGACCUUAGUGGAGAACAGAGAACCUGCUUCAUCACAGAGCGGGAAGCAAGUGUCCCGGUGGAGGAAAAAUGGACCUCGGCAGUAAUUAUCGACGUGGCAGAUGUUGAUUGAAUACUUGUACAUUCCCUAGAGAUUCUGGCCAGGCGUGGUGUGCACUGCUGAAAUCUCAGCUCUCGGCAGGCCGAGGCAGGGGGCUGCCUGGAGUUUGAGGCCAGCCUGGGCUGCAGAGCGAGCUCAAGGCCAUCCACAUAGGUAGAAUUAAGCAGCGCUGACUUGAUGAAGAAACGCGUUAGGGGUGUGGAGUUUGUGGUGUAGGACUUGCCUGGCACCCUGGGCUUCCAUCCCAGCCUGCAAAAAGGAAAGAAAGGAGGAAACGGGUUUGUUGGGAAGGCGUCUCUCCGUACGCAGUCCAUCUUAGCAGCGUUAAAAGAGAAAUCAGAACAGAAAAGGGCUAAUGAGCUGCUUACUUAUACCCUCCCACUGAAACAGACCCGGGGCUGGACCCUGAGGCCGCUCUGCAGCGCCCAGACCCAGCUCUGCCUCCGCAGGUGGUGGGGAGGCAGGAGCUGCCGCAGGCGUUCCUCAUCCUUGUGGCCAGGCAGGGACGGAAGGCAGAGUGACUCUGCCCAGCGCAAAAGUCUCGCUUGCAGUUUUGUUUCUGUCUUUCUGAUUAUGACCAGAGAAAGCCAGUCAGGUGCGAGAUGGGCUUAGAGUUUUUGUUGUUGUUUUUGAUUUUGAGAUGGGGUGUCACUGUGCAGCCCACGCUGGCCUUCAGUUCACUGUGUAGCCCACGCUGGCCUCGAACUUGAGGUGAUCCCCGAUGCUGGCCUUGAACUCACAGACGGCCUCAAACUCAUGGUGAUCCUCCUGCCUCAGCCUCCUGAGUGCUGGGAUUGCAGGUGUGUGCUGCCACACCUGGCUAAGGGUUUACACUUAAUAAAAGUUUCUAUUAAACUGUUUUGGGUAAAAUUAUACAUAAAAUAAUAAAGUCCACACUUUGC